GCCGCCUUAGCUCAGUUGGUAGAGCAUCGCAUUCGUAAUGCGGGGGUCAGAGGUUCGAAUCCUCUAGGCGGCACCA
RNAcentral lists this transfer RNA (76 nucleotides) under Rhodospirillaceae bacterium. RNAcentral's name for it is "tRNA-Thr". It matches the Rfam family "tRNA". Rfam says of the family: Transfer RNA (tRNA) molecules are approximately 80 nucleotides in length. Their secondary structure includes four short double-helical elements and three loops (D, anti-codon, and T loops). Further hydrogen bonds mediate the characteristic L-shaped molecular structure. tRNAs have two regions of fundamental functional importance: the anti-codon, which is responsible for specific mRNA codon recognition, and the 3' end, to which the tRNAs corresponding amino acid is attached (by aminoacyl-tRNA synthetases). tRNAs cope with the degeneracy of the genetic code in two manners: having more than one tRNA (with a specific anti-codon) for a particular amino acid; and 'wobble' base-pairing, i.e. permitting non-standard base-pairing at the 3rd anti-codon position. The record is from RNAcentral. Lineage: Bacteria; Pseudomonadati; Pseudomonadota; Alphaproteobacteria; Rhodospirillales; Rhodospirillaceae. RNAcentral also lists the same sequence under 1 other name.